AUUGAACGCUGGCGGCAUGCUUUACACAUGCAAGUCUAACGGCAGCGCGGGCUUCGGCCUGGCGGCGAGUGGCGAACGGGUGAGUAAUGCAUCGGAACGUGCCCAGUAGUGGGGGAUAGCCCGGCGAAAGCCGGAUUAAUACCGCAUACGACCUGAGGGUGAAAGCGGGGGACCGAAAGGCCUCGCGCUAUUGGAGCGGCCGAUGUCGGAUUAGCUAGUUGGUGGGGUAAAGGCUUACCAAGGCGACGAUCCGUAGCUGGUCUGAGAGGACGACCAGCCACACUGGGACUGAGACACGGCCCAGACUCCUACGGGAGGCAGCAGUGGGGAAUUUUGGACAAAGGGGGCAACCCUGAUCCAGCCAUGCCGCGUGCGGGAAGAAGGCCUUCGGGUUGUAAACCGCUUUUGUUCGGGAAGAAAUCCUCUGGGCUAAUACCCCGGGGGGAUGACGGUACCGGAAGAAUAAGCACCGGCUAACUACGUG
Molecule: ribosomal RNA, 484 nt
Filed under: uncultured bacterium
Lineage: Bacteria
Description: partial 16S ribosomal RNA
Rfam family: Bacterial small subunit ribosomal RNA
Source: RNAcentral